UUCGGAUUGAAAUUUUAGUGACUGAGUGGCGGACGGGUGAGUAACGCGUGGGUAACCUGCCCUGUACAGGGGGACAACAGUUGGAAACGACUGCUAAUACCGCAUGACACAUUCGGGCGGCAUCGCCUGGAUGUCAAAGAUUUUAUCGCUGAGAGAUGGCCUCGCGUCUGAUUAGCUAGUUGGUGAGGUAACGGCCCACCAAGGCGACGAUCAGUAGCCGGCCUGAGAGGGUGAACGGCCACAUUGGGACUGAGACACGGCCCAGACUCC
Molecule: ribosomal RNA, 270 nt
Filed under: uncultured Eubacteriales bacterium
Lineage: Bacteria; Bacillati; Bacillota; Clostridia; Eubacteriales
Description: uncultured Clostridiales bacterium partial 16S ribosomal RNA
Rfam family: Bacterial small subunit ribosomal RNA
Source: RNAcentral